GUGUCAGCAGCCGCGGUAAUACGAAGGGUGCAAGCGUUAAUCGGAAUUACUGGGCGUAAAGCGUGCGUAGGUGGUUUGUUAAGUCGGAUGUGAAAGCCCCAGGCUCAACCUGGGAAGUACAUACGAAACUGGCGCGCUUGAGUAUGGAAGAGGGUCGCGGAAUUCCAGGUGUAGAGGUGAAAUUCGUAGAUAUCGGGAGGAACACCUGUGGCGAAGGCGGCUACCUGGACCAGCACUGACACUGAGGCACGAAAGCGUGGGGAGCAAACAGGAUUAGAUACCCUAGUAGUCC
Molecule: ribosomal RNA, 292 nt
Filed under: uncultured bacterium
Lineage: Bacteria
Description: partial 16S ribosomal RNA
Rfam family: Bacterial small subunit ribosomal RNA
Source: RNAcentral